This 497-nucleotide ribosomal RNA is filed under the name uncultured bacterium. Its description in RNAcentral is "partial 16S ribosomal RNA". It matches the Rfam family "Bacterial small subunit ribosomal RNA", at positions 28 to 507 of the family's 1533-position model. The record is from RNAcentral.
GAUGAACGCUGGCGGCGUGCCUAAUACAUGCAAGUCGAGCGAACAGACGAGGAGCUUGCUCCUCUGACGUUAGCGGCGGACGGGUGAGUAACACGUGGAUAACCUACCUAUAAGACUGGGAUAACUUCGGGAAACCGGAGCUAAUACCGGAUAAUAUAUUGAACCGCAUGGUUCAAUAGUGAAAGACGGUUUUGCUGUCACUUCUAGAUGGAUCCGCGCCGCCUAAGCUAGUUGGUAAGGUAACGGCUUACCAAGGCAACGAUGCGUAGCCGACCUGAGAGGGUGACCAGCCACACUGGACCUGCGACACGGUCCCGACUACGACGGGAGGCAGCAGUAGGGAAACUUCCGAAAUGGGCGAAAGCCUGACGUAGCAACGCCGCGUGAGUGAUGAAGGUCUUGGGAUCGGAAAACUCUGUUAGUAGGGAAGAACAAAUGUGUAAGUAACUAUGCACGUCUUGACGGUACCUAAUCAGAAAGCCACGGCUAACUACGUG